UAAACUAGGAUUAGAUACCCUAUUAUAUUUAAAUAAAUAAAGUAGUAAAAAUAAUCAAACUAAUUUAAUUUGGCGGCAUUUCAUCUAAUUAGAGGAAUUUGUUUAUUAAUCGAUAAUCCACGUUAAUUUUCACUUUAACCUAAAAUUUAUAUACCGCCAUUUUAAGAAUCAAUUUAAAAAUUUCUUUCUCAAUAAAUCAUAAAAAAUUAGGGCAAGGUGUAAUCUAUAUUAAAGAAUAAAAUGAAUUACAUUAAAUAAUAUUUAAAGAUUAUUUAUAAAUAUAUUAAUAUAAAUAAGAAUUUAAAAGUAAUACAAUAAUAAUA
This 323-nucleotide ribosomal RNA is filed under the name Pireneitega huochengensis. Its description in RNAcentral is "partial small subunit ribosomal RNA". The record is from RNAcentral. Lineage: Eukaryota; Metazoa; Arthropoda; Arachnida; Araneae; Agelenidae.